GUUGACUACAGCACAGCGGCAGAAGUCAUGAUGUGCGGACGGCUCGGUGAUCGGAGCCAGCGCUGCCGGUGCGCUGCUCGCUGUCGCGUGCGCGGCCACCUUCCACGGCUUCACUGCCUUACUCUUCUUGUGUGCAGCUCUAAGCCUCCUCCUACCAGGUGCGCAGAAAUCUUCUCCCAGUGCCGCCCAAUCUGAAGCCGAAAGUUGACCUUUCCGCCAUCUAGCGUGGGUGUUAAGAUAACUUUACAGGACUGCUCUUGAGCAGAUACUUAAUAGACAGAGGAACUUUUUUCUUAGCCGCUUUAACGAGUUGGCUGACAGUAUGUCGACAGGCGGGGUACUUGUAGACUUAUAACGGCUCUUAUUGUAAGCGAACGCGUUGAAUUAAAAUAAAAUAUUAACAAAUACUUAACACUUUGCACCUUUUGAGCAGGGUCUCUAUUGUUUUCAAUAAAGUUUUGAGUCAUAAUAUAGUGUUUGUCCGCAUUUUCGUUAGUCAUAAUUUGGUUUUUCUCAGAAACGCGUAACUUUUCAGGAUUGCCAUAAAAACAAACCUAACCUAACCUAUCUAUAGGAUAACCUGAAGUAAAUUCUGAGAAGUUAACAGUUUCAGAAUUAUGACUAAUGAUAAUCUGACAAUCAUUACAUUAUGACUUUCAAUAAUUCUAUCAAACUAAGGGGAAAGGGAAAAGCUUUAAGCAGGGAUUUAAAAACUAGGUACUUUUUCGGGACCUCGAUGCAAGAUUUCAGAACAAACUUUGCGCUGUAUCAUAUCAUAAGUAUACAGGGUGACCUUAGCCAUUGGACAAACCCUGAAAUCCCACGUAGGGUUACUUCUCAGGAAUGCUCUGACGUUAAUAUUUUUUAAAUUAGAACAAAAGAUAAAAAAAUAUUUUUUUCGAACAAAAGUUAUUUGCAAUAAUCGACAACAAAAAGAAACACACUGUGUUAGGAUCUUUGGCAGUGUUUUUGACCAUUUUUUCGAAAUAUUUGAUAAUGAUGACAUUUUUCAAAAGUCAGAAGCUUAUUAGUGUCAUAAAUAAAAAUAAUAAUCAAAAAGGUCGAAGAAGGUUCCAUACUAUUCUUUUAGGAUAUUAUCUUAGGAGCUACUAACACAUACAGGCCGCUCAAAAGUAAAAAAUGGUAAUUUGUUAAUUCUUUCGAAACCGCUACACUGGUUGUUAUGAUACUUUGUACACUGGUUCUAAAUACCCUAAUGCAUAUGUACAUUUCGGCUUUGUCCAAUGGAUAGGGACACACUGUAUAUUCAAUGAAUAUAUUAUAAUUUCAAAUAUAAUUAGGUACUAAAACAUACUAAAGUAAAUAGUAAUAUAAUGUUUUAUAUAAUAAUAUAAUAUAAUUAUUAUAUUUCAGAAAUCAUUAUUUUUUCUUUGUAUGUAAAUAAGUUAAAGUGUAAUAUUAAGUUAAAAGUGUAUAUAAUAUGCCAGGAACUCCAUAAUUUAGACAAUUAUACUGUAAAUUAAUAAUUAUGAAGGUAAAUACAGUAAGUGUGCAUAUAGACGUAACCGAAGUGGAGUUAAGUUAACCCCACUAAUUUAGGUAGGUACUGUAUUAAAAUUGAAAUGGUUUAAAAUCCGUCUAUGCUGCCACUGCCCCAACUGGCCUUGACAAAGGGUGGCAUUGCCACUAUAAUCUAAAUUUUCCUUGGUUUUGACAUUUUAAAAGGCAUUCCACACUCUGCCGACUAGUCGGCGCAGAGGGCCUAGCCGAGAUGCCAAUCGUUUGCGUAGCGAACGAAACGCUAAUGUCUCUCUCACUCUUCCAUGUGCGACAGAGAGUCGAGUGUGUUUCGUUAGCUACGGCGCGAACGGUUGGCAUCUUGCUAUACCCCAGAGUUCAAUGGACUUUACCCUUAGGAAUGACGAUGUAACGGUAUGUAAUUUUAUAUUAUCAAUAAAUUAUUAUGACAUUUUUCUGUAUAAAAACAAAACUCUCGCUAUCUAUAUGUGCUUACCAUAAACACUAAGGAUAAAUAAUCUUACUGCUCUCUAGAAACAAAACCAUCAAUAUAGCUAAACAGUCUCACUUUAUACCAAAACCAAAAAUGAAUAAAACUGUGACACAAAUAUUAAUAAGAUGGCUUCAUUUGAAAUCAUUACUUUUCCGUCAUAGUUUUUUUUUUAAAUAUAAUUGGAUUAGUUUUUCAAGUAUAGAGUAGAAUAUUUUUUCUAAGAAGAAAUAUAUGCAGUUCAUCAAACGAAUAGCAUAAAUAUACUUAUUUAUUAUUUAUACGUUUUAUAAAACUGGAAAGCAAGGGCUUAAUACUAUUUGACUCUACUAAUAAUCAAGUUGAAACCAUACGCUAAAAAACGAUUUAAUACUUAGAAUAAAAUAAAUUGAUAAAACCUAUGUUAAUAUCAUAUACAGUGGGACCUCAGUAGCACGAAUCUCAAGGGGAACGUCAAAAAGUUGGUGUUAGUUAACGACUUUCCGUCUCAUACUUAGAGAGGUUCUUAUCAGUUUUUGUUCAUCUUAGAGAGGUAUCGAGUUAGAGGUUAAACAAUUCAUAAAAGGUAAUUAUACAAACGCGAAAGUACCUAAUGUAAAGGUUGUGUUCUUUGAGUUACGGAGGUUAGCUACAUAGUUAGUCAAUACUUAACUUCGAUAUAUAGAGGUGAUAAAACAAUACUACAAUUUUUCAAGUAGGUCAAAAUUAAAUUUCGAGUCAUAACUCCAUAGAGACGAAAAAAAUGAUUGGACAAUCACGAAGUACCACCCCUUACCGCAUGUAAUAAAAAAUAUUUGUUGAAAUUGAACUUUAAUAGUUGCCAAUAGAGUUGAAUAUCAUAAUAUAUGGCUUUGUAUGCAGUAAAGGGUUAAGAAGGCAGAAUAUUAAGACUUAUGGAGGCUUUUAAAGGAAGGGAACAAACGACAUGUUAUUUUGCGUCAACGAGGAUUUCGCCUUAUCGAGGUUCGACUUAUCGAGGUUUCACUGUGCUAGUAACGUAAUACCUUCAGUAGGCCUAGUAGACCGCGAGCCAGAAACAGGUUUCCAUAACCAAUCGCCUCCCGGACGAAAACUUGUAUGUAUAGUGGUUAACGGCCAUGUAUGAUGAACCCUCGUGGACGUCAGCUGCCACUCCGUCGGUGGGUUGAGGAAAGGUAGCCACCGAAACACGUAAAAAAAAUGUUCAUCGCCUCCCGUUUGAUACUUUGUCAGAUGACACUUCAGAUGCUAUUGUUAGUUUAAAAAAUCGGCAGCCGGUUGUAUCGCGGUGGUAAGAACGUCAGCUGGUCGCAUGAAUAUAAAAAAAAUAAGCGCUUUAUCAUUUUAUGAAAGCAAUAACAAAUCAUGAAUGUUUGCAUGUAGCAUUUCAUCAGGUGAAACGCCUGAAACGCCAUAAACGGAUUACGCAAUUUACAUUUUUGUUUAUUUUUUAUUUAUUUCGGAUAUUUUUAUUUAAUUUAAUUUUAAUGUUUAAAAAUUUUAUUUAACGUACAGUGUAUGAUUAAUACCAAAUAAAAUCUAUCUCUCUACACAUCACGCUUACUUUGCGGACAUAAAGUUGUAAGGCGCGUAUUUUUUACAUCUGACGGUCUUUCCAACGGGAGACAACCGGCUGACGGUUUUUUUUAUAUUUAAAACAGAUUAUCAGCCGGGAGGCGAUGACUGACGAAAUAUGCUCCUGGCUCGCGACUUCACACUUCGUAACGAAAUGCGACGGCAGUGAUAAGCGCCUAUAGAGUGACUGUUUUCUAGAUAUUAUAGAGAAUGAGAUCAUCCGUUGUAAUUAAGUGUUAUCAGCGUUCUAGUCCUGUAAAUUAGAAUAUGUAAUAAAUAUAAUUAUGUGAUAAGAUUAAACAUCUAUUUUUGUGUUCCAAAACACCAAUACGUUUAAUCCGAGAAACUGUAAUUCUGUCAGUUCUGAUGUAAUAUCAAUUUUUUUUUUUUUAUCUAAAUUCAAACGGUACAUUAUUCCGCUAAAACCUUAUUUAAGUGUUUUUUUUUUUGUUUUAAAUAAAUAAUCUGCAUAAUA
Molecule: long non-coding RNA, 3998 nt
Organism: Cydia pomonella (codling moth)
Lineage: Eukaryota; Metazoa; Arthropoda; Insecta; Lepidoptera; Tortricidae
Exons: 2
Source: RefSeq, a predicted model, not a curated record